Molecule: ribosomal RNA, 379 nt
Filed under: uncultured eukaryote
Lineage: Eukaryota
Description: partial 18S ribosomal RNA
Rfam family: Eukaryotic small subunit ribosomal RNA
Source: RNAcentral
CAAUAGCGUAUAUUUAAGUUGUUGCAGUUAAAAAGCUCGUAGUUGGAUUUCGGAUGGGACUUGCCGGUCCGUCGUUUCGAUGUGCACUGGCCAGUCCUAUCUUGUUGUCGGGGACUAGCUCCUGGGCUUCACUGUCCGGGACUAGGAGCUGACGAGGUUACUUUGAGUAAAUUAGAGUGUUCAAAGCAAGCCUACGCUCUGAAUACAUUAGCAUGGAAUAACACGAUAGGACUCUGGCUUAUCUUGUUGGUCUGUGAGACCAGAGUAAUGAUUAAGAGGGACAGUCGGGGGCAUUCGUAUUUCAUUGUCAGAGGUGAAAUUCUUGGAUUUAUGAAAGACGAACUUCUGCGAAAGCAUUUGUCUAGGAUGUUUUCAUUAA